This 568-nucleotide ribosomal RNA is filed under the name uncultured bacterium. RNAcentral describes it as "bacterial SSU rRNA". It matches the Rfam family "Bacterial small subunit ribosomal RNA", at positions 62 to 620 of the family's 1533-position model. The record is from RNAcentral.
UCGAGGGGCAGCAUGAACUUAGCUUGCUAAGUUUGAUGGCGACCGGCGCACGGGUGAGUAACACGUAUCCAACCUGCCGAUGACUCGGGGAUAGCCUUUCGAAAGAAAGAUUAAUACCCGAUGGCAUAGUUCUUCCGCAUGGUAGAACUAUUAAAGAAUUUCGGUCAUCGAUGGGGAUGCGUUCCAUUAGGUUGUUGGCGGGGUAACGGCCCACCAAGCCUUCGAUGGAUAGGGGUUCUGAGAGGAAGGUCCCCCACAUUGGAACUGAGACACGGUCCAAACUCCUACGGGAGGCAGCAGUGAGGAAUAUUGGUCAAUGGACGAGAGUCUGAACCAGCCAAGUAGCGUGAAGGAUGACUGCCCUAUGGGUUGUAAACUUCUUUUAUACGGGAAUAAAGUGAGGCACGUGUGCCUUUUUGUAUGUACCGUAUGAAUAAGGAUCGGCUAACUCCGUGCCAGCAGCCGCGGUAAUACGGAGGAUCCGAGCGUUAUCCGGAUUUAUUGGGUUUAAAGGGAGCGUAGGCGGACACUUAAGUCAGUUGUGAAAGUUUGCGGCUCAACCGUAAAA